AGGAAAGGAAAACUCUCAGACGGCAUAGCACUGUCGAAGCUACCCGCAAACUGAUGAAGGAGUCGAGAGAGGUCCCAAAAAUUCUUCUCGAGUAUAUCCAAUUAUCCACCAUAGGAAAGAUCACGAACCUGAGAGUUAAGGUGUAAUCUCUUCGAAUUUGAGUUCCAACUCUUUCUUUGCGGAAUCAAAUUCGAACCCAAGUCUCCACCGAGAAAUCAAGCUUCUCGUCGUCGUCUUGUUCUGCUCCUCCAUCAUCGUGGUCGUCUUGCUCUGCUCCCUGCUCCCCCAUCGUCAUAGUCAUCAAAUCUCCUUCGUGGCCGACUUCAUUUCCUCCAUGAUUCACCUUUGCGUUGAGCUCGCACGAUGAGUUCCUCUCUUCUUGUCACUGCCUCAUCCGUUGCCAAUCACCUCUGCAUAACUCCAUCGCGCUCGGAUCCACCGCCGUGAACUUCCGGAGUCGUCGUCACGAAUCCUAUGUUAAUUGAAAGCUUGAGCAACAAUGAUUGUUCCUCAAAUCCAGCCUCAAACUUUAAAAUUAACAUUUCAGCCCCUCGUUUAUAUGCAUCUGUCCUUAAAGAACUUUAAGCUUUCCAAGAGGCUGAAAGGCUAGCAGACUGAAAUACGAAGGAGACGAAUUAGCAAAGUAUGUGAGAGCUUGUGAUGAAGAAAGAUUGGAGCUUGUAAAAUAGGUAACAGAGGAGUUGGUCUUGCAAAUUUUGUGAGAGCUUUAUGAUAAAAAAAAUUUGGUGAUUGCAGAGUAUGAGUUAAUGGAGGAGACGUUUUGAUUGUUUAACGCCUUAUUGUUGGGAUCAUGUGACGUCUUGUACAUGUGUAUAUGUGUAUUCCAAGAAUAUACAAUCUUGUACAUGUGUGCAACAAGAUUUUGUAUACAACAACUCUUGUAGACAUGUACACAAAUAUAACAGGGAAAAUAUAUGAAUUUUUUGUCUAA
Raphanus sativus (radish) is the source of this 952-nucleotide long non-coding RNA. RefSeq lists it as uncharacterized. The transcript has 3 exons. The record is from RefSeq and is a predicted model, not a curated record. NCBI's taxonomy places the organism in Eukaryota, Viridiplantae, Streptophyta, Magnoliopsida, Brassicales, Brassicaceae.